AACGAACGCUGGCGGCAGGCCUAACACAUGCAAGUCGAGCGCUUUCCUUCGGGAAGGAGCGGCGGACGGGUGAGUAACGCGUGGGAAUGUACCCUUCUCUGCGGAAUAGCCACUGGAAACGGUGAGUAAUACCGCAUACGCCCUUCGGGGGAAAGAUUUAUCGGAGAAGGAUCAGCCCGCGUUAGAUUAGAUAGUUGGUGGGGUAACGGCCUACCAAGUCUACGAUCUAUAGCUGGUUUUAGAGGAUGAUCAGCCACACUGGGACUGAGACACGGCCCAG
This 280-nucleotide ribosomal RNA is filed under the name uncultured bacterium. Its description in RNAcentral is "partial 16S ribosomal RNA". It matches the Rfam family "Bacterial small subunit ribosomal RNA", at positions 29 to 334 of the family's 1533-position model. The record is from RNAcentral.